GAUGAAGAACGCAGCGAAAUGCGAUAAGUAAUGUGAAUUGCAGAAUUCAGUGAAUCAUCGAAUCUUUGAACGCACAUUGCGCCCGCCAGUAUUCUGGCGGGCAUGCCUGUUCGAGCGUCAUUACAACCCUCAGGCCCCCGGGCCUGGCGUUGGGGAUCGGCGGAGCCCCCCGUGGGCACACGCCGUCCCCCAAAUACAGUGGCGGUCCCGCCGCAGCUUCCAUCGCGUAGUAGCUAACACCUCGCGCCUGGAGAGCGGCGCGGCCACGCCGUAAAACACCCAACUCUUCUGAAGUUGACCUCGAAUCAGGUAGGAAUACCCGCUGAACUUAAGCAUAUCAAUAAGCGGAGGA
Molecule: unclassified non-coding RNA, 352 nt
Filed under: soil metagenome
Description: partial contains 5.8S ribosomal RNA, internal transcribed spacer 2, and large subunit ribosomal RNA
Rfam family: 5.8S ribosomal RNA (bases 1-120)
Source: RNAcentral